ACAAUGGAGAGUUUGAUCCUGGCUCAGGAUGAACGCUAGCGGCAGGCCUAAUACAUGCAAGUCGUACGGGAUU
RNAcentral lists this ribosomal RNA (73 nucleotides) under Cyclobacterium sp. 1_MG-2023. Its description in RNAcentral is "partial 16S ribosomal RNA". It matches the Rfam family "Bacterial small subunit ribosomal RNA", at positions 1 to 73 of the family's 1533-position model. Lineage: Bacteria; Pseudomonadati; Bacteroidota; Cytophagia; Cytophagales; Cyclobacteriaceae. The record is from RNAcentral.